RNAcentral lists this ribosomal RNA (393 nucleotides) under Triticum aestivum (bread wheat). RNAcentral's name for it is "partial small subunit ribosomal RNA". Lineage: Eukaryota; Viridiplantae; Streptophyta; Magnoliopsida; Poales; Poaceae. The record is from RNAcentral.
AUGAACGAGGAUAUUGUACAGUGGCGUUUUACAGGGUUUUAUGGUCGUCCGAGCUGGAGUGAGCGUAGUUUGUCCUGGGAUGAUAUUCGGAAUUUACAUUGUAAGGGCAAACACCCAUGGGUAGUCUUGGGUGAUUUUAAAGAAAUUUUACUUUCUUCUGAAAAAGAGGGCGGUAACGCUAGACCUAACGCUAUGAUGAGAGAUUUUCGUAAUUGUUUGCAAGAGUGCGGUCUAGAGGAUAUGGGAUGUAUUGGCGAUCUAUUCACUUGGAGAAGAGGCGCAAUUAGGGAGAGACUUGACCGUGCAGUUUGCAAUGUGGAUUGGGCGAAUAAAUUUCCUCGGGCUGCGAUUAUAAAUGAAGAACACGUACACUCUGAUCAUCGACCCCUCAUC